RNAcentral lists this ribosomal RNA (424 nucleotides) under uncultured prokaryote. RNAcentral's name for it is "bacterial SSU rRNA". It matches the Rfam family "Bacterial small subunit ribosomal RNA", at positions 355 to 796 of the family's 1533-position model. The record is from RNAcentral.
UGGGGAAUCUUAGACAAUGGGGGAAACCCUGAUCUAGCCAUGCCGCGUGAGUGACGAAGGCCUUAGGGUCGUAAAGCUCUUUCGCCAGGGAUGAUAAUGACAGUACCUGGUAAAGAAACCCCGGCUAACUCCGUGCCAGCAGCCGCGGUAAUACGGAGGGGGUUAGCGUUGUUCGGAAUUACUGGGCGUAAAGCGCACGUAGGCGGACUGGUAAGUUAGAGGUGAAAUCCCGGGGCUCAACCUCGGAAUUGCCUUUGAUACUGCCAGUCUUGAGUCCGGGAGAGGUGAGUGGAAUUCCUAGUGUAGAGGUGAAAUUCGUAGAUAUUAGGAAGAACACCAGUGGCGAAGGCGGCUCACUGGCCCGGAACUGACGCUCAGGUGCGAAAGCGUGGGGAGCAAACAGGAUUAGAUACCCGUGUAGUCC